CCUAUAAAUAACAGCCAUCCCUCCCUUCCUCGUAAUUACUGUUUAUCGUCUUCUCUCUCUAGAAAAAAUCCCCAAAUUAUUUUUUUCAACCGGCGAAGCCCUAAUUUCUCAAAAUCCCUCCAAUGGCGCCGGAUCCGAUUAAAUCAAACAAACCGGGAAUUAUAAAAUCAGAGACAGACCAGAAAGACUCAAUGAAAGAGAGAGAAUCGAAUAAUUUAUGGGUAGGGAACAUAUCAAGUGAUGUAACAGAAUCAGAUCUAAUGAAAUUGUUUGCGCAAUACGGUGCGAUUGAUAAUGUAACGACGUAUACAGCAAGAAGUUAUGGGUUUGUUUACUUUAAACGUGUUGAAGAUGCUAAACAAGCUAAAGAUGCCUUACAAGGGACUUCUCUUCGUGGAAAUCAGAUUAAAAUCGAGUUUGCUAGACCGGCCAAACCUAGUAGGCAUCUAUGGGUGGGUGGAAUAGGCUCAUCAGUUUCUGAGGAAUGGCUGGAAGAAGAGUUUCUCAAGUUCGGUAAAAUUGAGGAUUUCAAGUUUCGUAGAGAUCAAAAUACUGCAUAUGUUGAGUAUUUCAAACUGGAAGAUGCUUCCCAAGCCAUGAAAAACAUGAAUGGAAAGAAAAUUGGUGGUGAUCAGUUACGUGUGGAUUUCCUUCGAACACAAUCCUCAAGAAGAGAACAAUUACCCGACUUUCACGAUUCAAGACAGGAUCAGUUUUCAGCAACACAUUAUGGAGUAAGACGACCUCAGAUACCUAAAUCUCCAGGGGAGCAGAAAGAUGGCCAACCCAGCAAUAUUUUGUGGAUAGGAUAUCCUCCUUCUGUGCGGAUUGAUGAACAAAUGAUACAUAAUGCCAUGAUUCUUUUUGGUGAGAUUGAGAAAAUUAAAAGCUUUCCUUCGAGGCAUUAUUCAUUUGUGGAAUUUAGAAGUGUUGAUGAAGCCCGGCGUGCCAAAGAAGGCUUGCAAGGGCGGCUUUUCUGUGAUCCCCGUAUCACAAUAACGUUCUCAAGUAGUGGACUGGCACCUGGGAAAGAGGACUCUGGUUUUUAUCCUGGAGUUAAAGGUCCUAGGCUGGAAAUGUUUAACAAACAUCCUUUUGCGCCUAUGGACAUCAUGUUUGAUCAACCUGGUGGGCCAAGAAAUUUUCCUGGUCCAUUUCCACCCAGUGGCAUUCAUAGACCGAACCUGCCAGUAUGGCCUUUUGGUCCUCAAGGUGUUUUUGACCCUAUACUUCAAGGUGGAGAACAUAAUGAUUUGGCUCCAUCACAUAGCGACCGAUAUCCUGCAUCUGGGAUCCUCCCUUCUCCUGCUUCAGGUAGCAGGCCACCCAUGAGGUCAGUUUCUAGUGGUUGGGAUGUGCUUGAUCCAAGCCAGUUUCCUAGGGACGCCAAGCGGUCAAGGAUUGAUUCUGCACCGUCUGUUGAUGAUGAUUCUUUUCCUGCUAGAAAGAUGGGUGAUCGUGAUUUGGGUUUGGACAAAGCAUAUGGGCUAGGUCCUAGAGGUGCAUAUCCAAGUUUCCACGGGAAUAAUAGUCUUAGUCCAGUUGGUGGUAGGCUUAAGGGUCAUUUUGAUGAUGAUUUCAUAUGGCGUGGGAUUGUGGCCAAGGGUGGAAUGCCUGUAUGCCAUGCCCGUUGUGUCCCUGUAGGAAAAGGGAUAGAAUCAGAGAUACCUCCUGUCAUAAAUUGCUCGGCAAGGACGGGGCUGGAUGUGCUGGCUAAACACUAUGCUGAGGCAAUUGGGUUUGACAUUGUUUUCUUCUUACCAGAUAGUGAGGAUGAUUUUGCUUCCUAUACGGAAUUUUUGCAUUACUUGGGUUCGAAGAAUCGAGCUGGUGUAGCAAAGUUUGAUGAUGGGACCACUCUAUUUCUCGUGCCCCCAUCAGAUUUCUUAAAGAAUGUGUUGAAAGUUGCAGGACCUGAACGCCUGUAUGGUGUAGUACUCAAGUUGCCGCAGCAGGCCCCUAACAAUAAAUCAAUGCAGCAACAAUUGCCUCAGCCCAUCCAUUUUUCUCAGUACACGAACAAUCAGAUUUCACCACCAGAAGCUGACUAUAAUUUGCUCCAUCAGCAGGAGGAGCAAGUGAUGUCAAUCCAUCAUAAUAGGGUUUUGCAUGAGGAUUCAAAGCUUCCUUCAAAAUCAAUUUAUCCGUUGACAACAGCGUCCCACGCAGUGCUGCCAGUCCCCCAAGAAUAUGCCUCAAAUCACAGUGCAGCACCGUCCUCUGCUGGAUUUUUGACACCUGAUCUUAUUGCUACUCUUUCAACUUUACUGCCUGCCAAUAAGCAGUCUAGUUCAGAAAGUAACCAACCAGAAUUGGGCUCUCCUAUUGUCAGGCCACGGUUUUCUUCAGUUAUCCCUGACAAAGGAACUUCCUCUCAGGGAUGGAAGCAUGAUAAUCAAGUUUCUGGAAAUACAAGUCAUUUACAAUUUGGGAACCACUUGAAUUAUCAGGUGCAGGUUCAGUCUCGGUUCCAGCCUUGCCCAUCUGUCCCCAGCACAUAUAGUCAUUCAACAAAUGUGGUCCCUAGAAACAGUCAAAUCCAAGAUUCUACUGUCAGCCUAUCUCAUCAGAGUGCAACUCCAUCCAGGCCAUUGACUAGCUUUUCCAUGCCUUCUCAAAGUGGACAGUUUGCUUUGUCUCCACAGGUUCAGGGCACAAAUUUUUCCCAGACCCAAUAUGGGAUCCCACCAUCUGCAGACAGAGGGAAUGGGGAGCUUCCCAGUCAAGUGCAGCAAUUCCAACCUGCUCUUUCUGUAUCUGGGCGGGGUAUCUCAGAGGCUGAUAAGAAUCAGAGAUACCAGUCAACGCUGCAGUUUGCAGCCAACCUCCUGCUCCAGCUACAGCAGCAGCAGAAUACCAGCAACCCUGAUGCACAUGGAUCUGGGAAUCAGCAAUGAGUUUUCUCUUAAGGAAACAAAGAUGUGCAGAUAAGUAAAUCCAUGGAAGUGCUUGUACAUUGAUUUUGAUAUAGUAAAGUUAGAUGUUGGGAAACAGAAUUGUCAUGGCUGUUUUGAGGAGCUUGAGUUUUUAUUUAAGGUGCCCAGGAAGAGAUGACUUGCUUGGGUUAGAACUUAAUUAUCGGAGUUCUAUUUGAUAUUUUGAUGAUACAAGGGAUUUGAUUCAGGAAGAAAUAUUCAUGGACCCAUCCUUGUGUCUAUUUCUCUCCCAUGCUACAAGUAUUGGUAGUUACAGUUCAAACACUAUAGAAUUUUGUCAAAGAGAGGCUAUUCAUGUUGGUCAACUGUCUGUCGUAGUUAUUUAUCUUUGUAGCAUUUCCUAUCCAAGCUCUCUGGACCAACAAUUAUGACAGUAAUGGCAGUUGCAGGAGGUGCCUUUAACAAUCUAGCAGUUGCACUUAAUGCUUAUCAGUGUAGCCUUUUUCUCAACUUUUGGGGGGUCCAAUAGCAUAGGCUUACUCUAUGAUGCUCUCUGAACAAACGAAAGUAAAGAAUCGCUACGAGUUUGGAGUGAGUUCUGGUUGGUAAGUGGAACCCAAUUUUCCUCUCAAAGUGGCAUCUGUACAGAAUCUACUGCCAGGGUUGGCUAUUCUGUCUAUAUAUAUCACGGAGAACGUGCAAAAUCAUAGCUGUCUAGGGUUUGAGUUUGGGUAGGGUUGAGUUGAUUUUGUAGUCAAUUCAGGAAUGUAAAUGGGUUUUGUUCCCCUCUCUCAACAUGGAGUUAUCAGGAUUUUCUUUUCUUUUCUUUCAAUAAAUCAAAUUCAAUUUUUUUCUA
Populus nigra (black poplar) is the source of this 3732-nucleotide RNA transcript. It is a transcript of the gene named flowering time control protein FPA-like, with no coding region annotated. NCBI's taxonomy places the organism in Eukaryota, Viridiplantae, Streptophyta, Magnoliopsida, Malpighiales, Salicaceae. The transcript is spliced from 8 exons. The record is from RefSeq and is a predicted model, not a curated record.